GACGAACGCUGGCGGCGUGCUUAACACAUGCAAGUCGAACGGAAAGGCCCUGCUUUUGUGGGGUGCUCGAGUGGCGAACGGGUGAGUAACACGUGAGUAACCUGCCCUUGACUUUGGGAUAACUUCAGGAAACUGGGGCUAAUACCGGAUAGGAGCUCCUGCUGCAUGGUGGGGGUUGGAAAGUUUCGGCGGUUGGGGAUGGACUCGCGGCUUAUCAGCUUGUUGGUGGGGUAGUGGCUUACCAAGGCUUUGACGGGUAGCCGGCCUGAGAGGGUGACCGGCCACAUUGGGACUGAGAUACGGCCCAGACUCAUACGGGAGGCAGCAGUGGGGAAUAUUGCACAAUGGGCGGAAGCCUGAUGCAGCAACGCCGCGUGGGGGAUGACGGCCUUCGGGUUGUAAACCGCUUUCGCCUGUGACGAAGCGUGAGUGACGGUAAUGGGGAAAGAAGCACCGGCUAACUACGU
This 467-nucleotide ribosomal RNA is filed under the name uncultured bacterium. RNAcentral describes it as "partial 16S ribosomal RNA". It matches the Rfam family "Bacterial small subunit ribosomal RNA", at positions 28 to 506 of the family's 1533-position model. The record is from RNAcentral.